Molecule: transfer RNA, 99 nt
Filed under: Moelleriella libera RCEF 2490
Lineage: Eukaryota; Fungi; Ascomycota; Sordariomycetes; Hypocreales; Clavicipitaceae
Description: Aschersonia aleyrodis RCEF 2490 tRNA
Rfam family: tRNA
About the family: Transfer RNA (tRNA) molecules are approximately 80 nucleotides in length. Their secondary structure includes four short double-helical elements and three loops (D, anti-codon, and T loops).
Source: Rfam by way of RNAcentral
GGUGAGAUGGCCGAGUUGGUUAUGGCGUCAGGUUAAGGUCACCUUAACGACAAUUUCCUGGUGGAGCAAUCCUCCUGGGUUCGAGUCCCAGUCUCAUCA